This 467-nucleotide ribosomal RNA is filed under the name uncultured bacterium. RNAcentral's name for it is "partial 16S ribosomal RNA". It matches the Rfam family "Bacterial small subunit ribosomal RNA", at positions 28 to 507 of the family's 1533-position model. The record is from RNAcentral.
GACGAACGCUGGCGGCGUGCUUAACACAUGCAAGUCGAACGGAAAGGCCCCAGCUUGCUGGAGUACUCGAGUGGCGAACGGGUGAGUAACACGUGGGUAAUCUGCCCUGCACUCUGGGAUAAGCUUGGGAAACUGGGUCUAAUACUGGAUAUGACCUUCCUCCUUAUGGGGUUUGGUGGAAAGUUUUUCGGUGUAGGAUGGGCCCGCGGCCUAUCAGCUUGUUGGUGGGGUGAUGGCCUACCAAGGCGACGACGGGUAGCCGGCCUGAGAGGGUGAUCGGCCACAUUGGGACUGAGAUACGGCCCAGACUCCUACGGGAGGCAGCAGUGGGGAAUAUUGCACAAUGGGCGGAAGCCUGAUGCAGCGACGCCGCGUGAGGGAGGACGGCCUUCGGGUUGUAAACCUCUUUCAGCAGGGACGAAGCGUAAGUGACGGUACCUGCAGAAGAAGCACCGGCUAACUAUGUG